Non-coding RNA from Pantherophis guttatus, 2904 nucleotides. The record is from RefSeq and is a predicted model, not a curated record. NCBI's taxonomy places the organism in Eukaryota, Metazoa, Chordata, Lepidosauria, Squamata, Colubridae.
AUAGGUGUCUGCAGGUAAUGAUGGUGGCAUAACAAUUACAACAGGAACAUGAAGAUGUUGUGGCCCGAAAAUAUGUUUUAUUUGUUCUUUGCUGUUCCUUGACAUUCUGACACCCUGGCAGAUAAUUAUGAACAUGCAUCACUUUGUUCUUGCUGAUACUAAAAUAUAUGUGCCGUCUUGAUGUAAUUUCACCCAGUCUAGAAACAGAUCUUUUUGGAGCUCUUUGUAAUCCUUUUUAUUUUAGCAACCAACCAGUUACGUAUCAUUAGCAAAGCUGUUCACUACAUUGUCUACAUUUAUAAACUCCAAAUUGUUUAUAAAAAAUUCAAAAAGUAUCAGUCACAGUAAGAUUCAAGGAGACUCUAUUUUGAUUGCCUCUAAUUUAAGCAUUUCUCUUAUUCUUGUUCUGUGCUUUCUGAUCUUUAAUCUAUUUAUCAAUCUAAGAGAGCCCUUGACCUUUUAUAUCAUGGCUGCCAAGUUUGUUCUGCCUUUAAAUGAGAGACUUUAUCAUUUAUUUUUUUUAAAAAAGCAAGCACAAUAUAUCUCUUCAAUCAUCCCAGGUUCUCCUGACAAAAGCCAUGCUGGUACUUUUUCGACAAGGCAGUCUUCUAUAUGCCACUUUCCCUUUAAUUAUAAAUUGUAGUAUUUACUCCAAGCAGGCAUUAAGGUACCUGGCUUAUAAUUUUCUCUGUCCACUCCCUUGUUCCUUGUUCUAAAAAUCAGAUUUACAUUGGCUCACUUCCAUUCCUCAAAACACAUCAGUUUUAUAGAGAAACUGCAUAUUUUUACCAAAAGAUCAGCAACUUCACAGUUCAGUUCUUUAAAAACUUCGGGUAGAUAUUAUUGGAUCCAUAGAUUUCUUUUUUUGUUAGAUAGCUAGACUAUUAAUCCACUUUCUAGGUGCUUUGUCUAUCCCUUUGUGAAAAAGAUAGACAACCACAAGAAUCAGAUUAGCAUCCUCAGUGUGGAAACAAAGUAUUUGUUCAUUUUUCCUGCAAUUUUCUUUAUAUAUGUUUGAGUCUGUGUUGACUCCUGGACUAGUCCCUGAAAUUUUCUUGGCAAGAUUUCAGAAAUGGUUUCCCAUUGCCUCCUUCUUGGGGCUGAAAGGGAAUGGCUCAAAGUCACCCAGCUGGCUUUGUUCCUGAGACAAUAAUAUAAUUCAGUCGUUCAGUUGCUAGCCUGGAGAACCAACCUAGCUCUCUUCUUUUAGCACAGCUUUUGUGUCAUCCAAUAGCUUUCUCAACCCAUUUCCAGUUUAGAAUAUAUUUAAUAAAUGUUUUGUUGCUCACUUUUAAUCUUCUUUGCCACAGGUUCCUGAAAAUCAUUCCGAAUACUAUUUAUUUACUGCGGGUAUAUAUUUUUCCAAAAAGUGUGUUCUUUGUUUUCUUCUUAAUUUGGGUAAGGUUUGCAUUUUAUGAAGGAAGCUUGCAUGUCUUUGACAGCUUCUCUGAACACUCUGGUUUUCUCUUGCAUUUGUGACAUUCUUCCUUUAUCUAAAACAAUGGUUCAGUUGUCCAAAUUGCCCCCUUUGCCAGUCUUAAAUGAUGUCAUUACUCCCUCCCUCACCCCUUCCCAAAAAAGAUGCUGCUUGGCCACAGCAGUCCCAAAUCAGAUCCUCAGCUCACAAACAAGCAAUAACAAAUUGCUUCAUUACCCCCAACUUAAAUCCAAACACCCGAUUUAAGCCAUUGGUCUAAGAUAUAAUUUCUAACUGAAAAUCUAUUAUAUAUAUUGUUGUGUAUUCAGCCACGCCAGGGCAUAGCAACACGGAGACGCCUCCCAUUGGCUGAGGCAUGACAGCUCUGUCAGCGGGAAAAAUGGACACGUGCUAUUGGUCUGCCCUGUUUGACAGCUGCUAUAUAAAUAAUAGCAUGCCUGUUUGUUGCUGUUGCCAGUUCUGUACUUGUUAGCCUGUUACUGUUCCUGAUUACAUGAGUUAAGCUUCAGCCAUCUCUGCUUCAGUUACUUUACACCCUAGUUCUCCCGAACAGAACAUAUAUACUUUACUUUUUAAAAUUAUUUAGAGUGAUUGGAGAUUUUCAUUAUUCACUUUUGGUUAUCAAUCACUUUACAAUUUGCAAGCCUGUUCUUUGAAAUCAGAUAUAAUAGGGUUUGCUUGCAUAACAAUCCCUUUGUGUGAAAGUUAAAUGUAAUGCAAUGGCAUCUUUUACAAUCAAUUGAAUAAUGUGUAUAUUCCUUGCACUACUUGAAAUUAAGAGCAGGAUCAUGCCCCCUCUAAUGUACUCCUUGUGCAGCUGUUCUAAAGAAUAAUAAUUUGAUUUGGAUUAAUGCAACACUUUUAACCAGAUGUCAACUUUUUUCUACAUAGGCCAAAAAUCAACUCCAAAGAAAGAUAUCUCUAGGGUGUGGAGUCUUUUGAGGUCAGCCCAGCUAGAUGCUAUUACCUAAUUGGACUGUUGGAGCAAACUGAGUCAGUAUAAUAAACUGAAAGACAAUAAUUGGAAUAAUAGUACUUGAAAACUCAUGAUGAUUUCAACAAGCUACAUCAGAAACCAUUCCACUGUGUGAUAGUGAAGCUGACACUUGUUGCAGAAGAAAUAUGCAACAGAGCAUUUCUUAAAGUGUGAUCUAAGAAUCUUUGGAGGUUCCUGAAAAUCUUCUCCAGAGUUUGUGAGCUCAGAAUUAUUUGCCAGAUACUGAAGAUAUAUGCAAAAAAUUUAAACAAUGAGUUUUCAUUAUUAUGUUUUACUUGUUAAAAACAUGGGAGUUAACGUAAAACAUUUUAUUUACGUUGAUAUUUAUUCUAUUUAAUAUUGUGCAUGAUUCAAUAAAUAAAUAUUGUAUGAAUGUGUCAAUUUUAAUUUUUAACAUAGUAAGUAUCAAUAAAUAUAACCCAUACUGACAAAAGCUCUUUUGACGUUUUCCAUAAUUUUUAAAAGUGAA